Molecule: long non-coding RNA, 797 nt
Filed under: Equus caballus (horse)
Lineage: Eukaryota; Metazoa; Chordata; Mammalia; Perissodactyla; Equidae
Description: lncRNA (ENSECAG00000049396.1)
Source: RNAcentral
UGCUCUCCUUUUUAGGUUCGUGUUCCAACCUAGAACCCAAAUUGGGAGCCUGAGGAAGACAGGAGUGGGACAGGAAACAAGCAAGAUGACAGUCUCUGCUGAAAGAUCUCCAUGGCUCAUUCUGAUUCUCCUCUUUUAAGAGUGUGAAGUAUUACACCGUCCACCUCCACCCAGUGCCUUACGCCAUACUUCGUUAAGGAAAUCUUAUAGGAUUUAAGCAAUCUGAUGGAAAAAACUUGAUAAAACAACUUCCAUCAAAAUAUUUUUCCAAUGACCUCCACGUAAACCAACAUGGUCAGUCUUCUCUCAUAUUACAGUGGAAUAUGUGGACUUCUAUCCCCACCACUUCACUAACUGCUUUUGUUAAGACAGGCGAAACACCUUGCCUUUCUCUUUCUUCCUUGAAAAACACAAAUGGAUUCCAAUAUCAGAUGAGUUGGUCUGGAGGAGCUAUCUUCGCAAUCUUCGCAUGACUGAUUCAUCUCAUCACUGAAGACUCAGCUCAAAAAUCACCUUCUCUCCAUAGAGAGGAUGUCUAUAACCAUCCAUUUAAAAUACUUUCCCCCAUAUAUAAACAUUACUAUCUAUCUUGUAGUCCUUGUUUAUUUUUCUGAGUCAAAUUUAGUAACAAGUGAAAUUAAUUUGUUUAUUUGUGAGAAAUACACUGAGGGAAAUGGUGAAGACAUGGCCUAACUAAGGUGGAGGCCUCAACAGAGGGCACUAGUAGCUAUCGCACAAAUCACAGAAUUUCUCAGGAAGCCCACAAAGACCCUGAAGAACCAAAACGGCAACUGAAG